AAGCCCGCAAGGGUAAGUAGAGUGGCGCACGGGUGAGUAACACGUGGACAACCUGCCUUCGAGUGGGGAAUAACCUUCCGAAAGGAGGGCUAAUACCGCAUAACACCUCGGGACACAAGUUCUGGGGUUGAAAAGAGCAAUUUGCUCGAAGAGGGGUCCGCGCCUGAUUAGCUAGUUGGUGAGGUAACGGCUCACCAAGGCUUCGAUCAGUAGCCGUCCUGAGAGGGAGCACGGCCACACUGGAACUGAGGCACGGUCCAGACUCCUACGGGAGGCAGCAGUGGGGAAUUUUUGGCAAUGGGCGAAAGCCUGACCAAGCAACGCCGCGUGGGUGAUGAAGUAUCUUGGU
This 349-nucleotide ribosomal RNA is filed under the name uncultured bacterium. Its description in RNAcentral is "bacterial SSU rRNA". It matches the Rfam family "Bacterial small subunit ribosomal RNA", at positions 73 to 422 of the family's 1533-position model. The record is from RNAcentral.